Molecule: non-coding RNA, 1632 nt
Organism: Cricetulus griseus (Chinese hamster)
Lineage: Eukaryota; Metazoa; Chordata; Mammalia; Rodentia; Cricetidae
Source: RefSeq, a predicted model, not a curated record
CAGCAAGGAGGGACGCCAAUAUGGCGUCCGAUAAGAUAAGUCCCAUAAAAUAUAUAGAUGUUGAAAUGAAAUGCCCUCCGCAUGAGCUGGAAUACAGAAAUGCCACACCCCACCCCACCCCAGUUCCAUACAUUCAAGAGAAAAAAUGUAUGUAUCAAGCAUGGGAAAGAAGGGGCAGAACAAAACUUCAUUGGCAAGAAAGAAAAGAUGGAAGAGAAGGAAAAGGAAAGCCUGGCCUAGCCUAUGUGUUGAAGAGGCCUCCAACAAGGGUAACACCGACACAUCCUCCAUGUUCUAUGCUUUCAGGGCAUAGAAACCACAUGCCUGUACAGAGAGAAGUGCCAGCAUUAAAGAGGGCUUUAAUUUUUCCUCUGUUGAGCAUCGUUUGCACAACCGCCACUCUAAUGUGCCAUCAAACAUAGACAUCCUUCUGUGUUCUUCAGAGGUUGGCUGCUAGAUACCCUGCAAAGUGAGGAACACCAGACUUCAUACUGCCAGUCCCCACAUGGUGAGAGUAUCACACUGCAUAAGCCAAACCAGGAAAAGAGCAAACGUACAAUUUCUGUGGAAUUCACAUCAUUUUUGUACCAUCAUGAAGCUGAAAACUUAUCUGGAAUGCCUCACGGAGACUCAUGCUGUAAGCUCUCCAUGCUGUCUUGGGAGGUUAUGGAGCCUUUGGGAGGUGAGUCCUAGAUUGAACACACAGGCCACUAGCAGGCCUUCAAAGGCUCAGAUCUGCCUUGGGUUUUGUUCUGGCUUUGUGUUUCCUGGUCCAGCCUUCAUGUGACCAUUGCCAUUAACACUACUCUCUCUGCCUUCCCGGCUGCCGUGGCCCAAAGGUCUCCCUCUUUAAGUUGCUCCUGCCUGGUAUUUUAUCUCAGUGAUGAGAAAAGUCACCAAUCAUCGUAAAUUGGCAACCAGUUGUAUAUGGGAAUGCUUUUGAACCCACAGCCCAGUUCCUGAGGGGCAUCAUGUGUUUUGGAAUUAGACUACUAACACAAACACACAGAAAUAAAUACAAGCUAAAGUCUAAGAAAAAGGCUUCUGUUCAAGAUGAAAGGGAAGGCCACUGGAGAGGAUGAGAAAUGAGGAAGUAACACAGCUGAAAUGAAUGAGAAACAAGAAAAGUGGUGAGAAACAUGAAAGCCUAUAGGGACAUACCGUAAGACUUCAAGGACUGGGGGAAGGGGGAGUUCCAAGUUCAAAGCUAUACUAUUAUCAUGCUUGGGGACCAGAAGCAAAUGACUAGUUUGCUACUUUUAGUAGCACCUGAUAGAACAGUGAGGGACAGGGACUUGGGAGAGUCAUUUUCAGUGUCAGAAGAGUGGACCAGUGAGAUAGGCAUCCUAGAGCUUCUCUGUUCCUCCUCUAUUGGCAUUUGCUUCUUCUUUACCUCCUGGAGUCAUUGUACUGUACCUCUACAGAACAAGAGGCACUGAUUCACCUUGUAGUCAUUAUGCUUAUCAAUCAUCUACCCAAUUCACACCAUAUAAAGCUCACCCAUCUCUGUCUGUCAUUAGGCAUCUUGUGGUGUCAUUUCCUUAAUCUUCCGUCUUUCCCUCAGUCUCUCAGCUUUAGCUCCUCCUAUUGCUCAUGCUCUGAGAGAACACACUAUUAAACCAUUCAAAUUCA